Molecule: ribosomal RNA, 1531 nt
Filed under: metagenome
Description: bacterial SSU rRNA
Rfam family: Bacterial small subunit ribosomal RNA
Source: RNAcentral
AGAGUUUGAUUCUGGCUCAGAACGAACGCUGGCGGCGUGGAUUAGGCAUGCAAGUCGAACGAGAUCCAUUAGAUUUGAGACUUCGGUUGAUGAUCUUUUGGUGACAGUGGCGGAAGGGUGAGUAAUGUAUGAAUAACUUGUCUCUAAGUUUGGGAUAACCCUGGGAAACUGGGACUAAUACCGGAUGUGGUUAUAGCGUGGCAUCAUGUUAUAACUAAAGGUGGGGAUCUUUCGGGACCUGCCGCUUGGAGAGAGGUUCGUAUCCUAUUAGCUUGUUGGUGAGGUAAUUGCUCACCAAGGCAACGAUGGGUAGCCGGCCUGAGAGGGUGACCGGCCACACUGGGACUGAGACACUGCCCAGACUCCUACGGGAGGCUGCAGUCGAGAAUCUUUCGCAAUGGGGGAAACCCUGACGAAGCGACGCCGCGUGAGCGAUGAAGGCUUUCGGGUUGUAAAGCUCUGUCGCCAGGGAAGAAGUGCAUAGGUGUUAAUACCACCUUUGUUUGACGUUACCUGGAGAGGAAGCCCCGGCUAACUCCGUGCCAGCAGCCGCGGUAAUACGGGGGGGGCAAGCGUUGUUCGGAUUUACUGGGCGUAAAGGGGGUGUAGGUGGCCUACCAAGUCAGAUGUGAAGGAUCCCUGCUUACCAGGGAAAACGCAUCUGAAACUGUUAGGCUUGAGUUUGGGAGAAGAGAGUGGAAUUCUCGGUGUAGCGGUGAAAUGUGUAGAUAUCGAGAAGAACACCAGUGGCGAAAGCGGCUCUCUAGUCCAAAACUGACACUGAGGCCCGAAAGCUAGGGGAGCGAAUGGGAUUAGAUACCCCGGUAGUCCUAGCUGUAAACGAUGUGCACUUGGUGUAGGAGGUAUCGACCCCUUCUGCGCCGAAGCUAACGCGUUAAGUGCACCGCCUGGGGAGUACGGCCGCAAGGUUAAAACUCAAAGAAAUUGACGGGGGCCCGCACAAGCGGUAGCAUGUGGUUUAAUACGACGCUACGCGUGGAACCUUACCAGGGCUUGACAUGUAUUUGACCGCCGGUGAAAGCCGGUUUUCCUUCGGGACAGAUACACAGGUGUUGCAUGGCUGUCGUCAGCUCGUGUCGUGAGAUGUUGGGUUAAGUCCCGCAACGAGCGCAACCCAUAUCCCUAGUUGCCAGCACUUAAGGUGGGGACUCUAGGGAGACUGCCUCGGUUAACGGGGAGGAAGGUGCGGAUGACGUCAAGUCAGUACGGCCCUUACGUCCUGGGCUACACACGUGCUACAAUGGCCGGUACAAAGGGUUGCUAAACCGCGAGGUCACGCUAAUCCCAAAAAGCCGGUCUCAGUUCGGAUUGGAGUCUGCAAUUCGACUCCAUGAAGCUGGAAUCGCUAGUAAUGGCGCAUCAGCCACGGCGCCGUGAAUACGUUCCCGGGCCUUGUACACACCGCCCGUCACAUCACCCGAGUUGGAUGCACCCGAAGUCGCUGAACCAACCGUAAGGAGGAAGGCGCCGAAGGUGUGUUUGGUAAGGAGGAUGAAGUCGUAACAAGGUA